AAGACCUUGCGCUUUUGGAGCGGCCGAUGUCUGAUUAGCUAGUUGGUAGGGUAAUGGCCUACCAAAGCUUCGAUCAGUAGCUGGUCUGAGAGGACGACCAGCCACACUGGGACUGAGACACGGCCCAGACUCCUACGGGAGGCAGCAGUGGGGAAUUUUGGACAAUGGGCGCAAGCCUGAUCCAGCCAUGCCGCGUGAGUGAAGAAGGCCUUCGGGUUGUAAAGCUCUUUCAGCCGGGAAGAAAAGGCUACGACGAAUAAUCGUAGCUCAUGACGGUACCGGAAGAAGAAGCACCGGCUAACUACGUGUCAGCAGCCGCGGUAAUACGUAGGGUGCGAGCGUUAAUCGGAAUUACUGGGCGUAAAGGGUGCGCAGGCGGUUUUGUAAGUCAGAUGUGAAAUCCCCGGGCUUAACCUGGGAACU
Molecule: ribosomal RNA, 423 nt
Filed under: uncultured bacterium
Lineage: Bacteria
Description: bacterial SSU rRNA
Rfam family: Bacterial small subunit ribosomal RNA
Source: RNAcentral